RNAcentral lists this ribosomal RNA (561 nucleotides) under uncultured bacterium. Its description in RNAcentral is "partial 16S ribosomal RNA". It matches the Rfam family "Bacterial small subunit ribosomal RNA", at positions 355 to 902 of the family's 1533-position model. The record is from RNAcentral.
UGGGGAAUAUUGCACAAUGGGCGCAAGCCUGAUGCAGCCAUGCCGCGUGUGUGAAGAAGGCCUUCGGGUUGUAAAGCACUUUCAGCGAGGAGGAAGGUGGUGAACUUAAUACGUUCAUCAAUUGACGUUACUCGCAGAAGAAGCACCGGCUAACUCCGUGCCAGCAGCCGCGGUAAUACGGAGGGUGCAAGCGUUAAUCGGAAUUACUGGGCGUAAAGCGCACGCAAGGCGGUUUGUUAAGUCAGAUGCGAAAUCCCCGGGCUCAACCUGGGGAACUGCAUUUGAAACUGGCAAGCUAGAGUCUCGUAGAGGGGGGUAGAAUUCCAGGUGUAGCGGUGAAAUGCGUAGAGAUCUGGAGGAAUACCGGUGGCGAAGGCGGCCCCCCUGGACGAAGACUGACGCUCAGGUGCGAAAGCGUGGGGCAGCAAACAGGAUUAGAUACCCUGGUAGUCCACGCUGUAAACGAUGUCGAUUUGGAGGUUGUGCCCUUGAGGCGUGGCUUCCGGAGCUAACGCGUUAAAUCGACCGCCUGGGGGAGUACGGCCGCAAGGUUAAAAACUC